AAGAGAAAGCCACAGCUGCCUCCUGGGCCAUGGACUCUUCCCUUCAUCAGAAGCCUCCACCACGUCGCCAGCGUGCUCCCGCACCGCAAGAUGAUGGAGAUGUGUCGCCGGCAUGGGCCGCUGAUGCACCUUAUGCUCGGCGAGGUCCCAACGGUGAUCGUCUCCAGCGCCGAGGCGGCGGCGCUGGUGAUGAAGACCAACGACCUUGCCUUUGCUGGCCGGCCUCGCAGCGCGACGCUGGACAUCUUCGGCUGCGGCGGGAGGGGCAUCGUCUUCGCCCCCUACGGUGACCCAUGGCGCCAGAUGCGCAAGGUCUGCACCAUGGAGCUCCUGAGCUCCAAGCAGGUGAGGCGUAUGGACGGUAUCAGGCCAGACCAGGUGGGCAGCCUUCUCCAUUAUGUCGCAGACGCGGCAUCCAUGGGUGCCGUCGUCAACGUCAGCGAGAAGAUGAUGGCGCUCAGCAACGACGUGGUGUCGCGGGCGGUGUUUGGCGGCAAGUUCCCGCAGCAGGAGGAGUACCUCCGGGAGCUGGAUGAGGCGUUCGUGCUGCUAGGUGGUUUCUGCCUCGUCGACCUCUUCCCGUCAUCGCGGCUGGUGCGGUGGCUAUGCAAGGGAGAGCGCCACAUGAGGAGGAGCUAUGGCCACAUCCAACGUAUCAACGCCGACGUCAUCGAGGGGCAUAAGGCGGCGCGAGCUGCCACACAGGACGGUGCCUCCAGCACCGACGAUGAUGACUUGCUGGACGUGCUACUCAGGCUCCAGGAGAAGGACGCGUUCACAUUCCCUAUGACCACGGAGAGUAUAGGUGCCGUCUUAUUUGACAUAUUUGCAGGUGCCACACAGACCACGGGAGUUGCCUUGGAGUGGGCAAUGUCUGAGCUCGUCCGUCAUCCCGAAGCCAUGGCCAAAGCACAGAUUGAGAUCCGAGAGGUGCUAGGUCAAGGUCGAGCUGUGAUUACUAAUAGUGACCUCGCUGGACUCCAUUACAUGUGGAUGAUCAUUAAGGAGGUUCUUAGACUGCAUCCACCAGGUCCUUUGAUCCCCCGUAGGGCCAGGGAAGACCGUAAAGUUAUGGGUUUUGACAUGCUUUAAGGCACCAAUGUAUACAUUAAUGCGUUUGCAGUUUUGAGGGAUCCAAAUUGUUGGGAAACUCCUGAAGAGUUUAAGCCUGAAAGGUUUGAGAACAAUAACAUGGAUUACAAUGGGACAUACUUUGAAUUCACCCCCUUCGGUGUUGGUCGGAGGCAGUGCCCUGGGAUACUAUUCGGCACGUCAACUAUGGAGAUCGCCUUGGCAAAUCUUCUCUACCACUUCGACUGGGUGCUUCCUGGCAAGGCAAACCCGGAAUUUUUGGACAUGACCGAGAAAUAUGGGAUCAUCGUAGGAAGAAAAUAUGACCUACAAUUGAUACCUAUUUCCCGUGGAGGUUUCCAUGCCACAUAG
Molecule: ribosomal RNA, 1443 nt
Filed under: Triticum aestivum (bread wheat)
Lineage: Eukaryota; Viridiplantae; Streptophyta; Magnoliopsida; Poales; Poaceae
Description: partial small subunit ribosomal RNA
Source: RNAcentral